AAAAGAAUGACUUGCUGCUGCUUACAGAAACCAUCCUGUCAUAGAUGGGAGUGGCAGUCACAGAACCUAGCUGCUUCAACAGUUUCUUUGCUUGCUGCAAAUGAAGCUGCCUUCUCCUGUAGAGAGUGGUCACACAUAAGGUUUGUGCAGCACUCCUGUGGUCAGACAGCUAGGUGCUAUGCCUGACCUUGUUGCGAAUGGGUUGGUAUAUGAGAUGGGGCUUUUCCUUUCCUUUCCUUCUCCAGGAGGGUGGGGCGUACAUGGCAAGUAUGCUUGGCAAGUAUGCUGCUUAUACUGGCUCAUUGGUGUAAUUAAGUUUUCCUUUAAGCAAAUUUUUAAAUAAGCAGGAAGGGAAUCAGGUAUACAUCUUUCCUCAUUCUGAGGGUCGUGUUUGAAUUGCCCCUAUAUGCCAAAUGGCAUGCAUUUUUAUAUUGCCCUCUGUAGUGUAGAGUGUAGUGUAGAGGCGGUUGGAGGAUGGAUGGUGGCUAAUGGAUUGCGGUUGAAUCCUGACAAGACAGAAUUACUGUUCUUGGGGGACAGGGGGCUGGCUGGUGUGGAGGACUCCCUAGUCCUGAAUGGGGUAAUUGUGCCCCUGAAGGACCAGGUGUGCAGCCUGGGAGUCAUUUUCGACUCACAGCUGUCUAUGGAGGCACAGGUCAGUUCUGUAUCCAGGGCAGCUGUCUACCAGCUCCACCUGGUACGCAGGGUGAGACCCUACCUGCCUGCAUACUGUCUCGCCGGAGUGGUGCAUGCUCCAGUUAUCUCCCGCUUGGACUACUGCAAUGUGCUCUACGUGGGGCUACCUUUGAAGGUGACCUGGAAACUACAACUAAUCCAGAAUGUGGCAGCUAGACUGGUGACUGGGAGCAGCUGCUGAGACCAUAUAACACCGGUCCUGAAAGACCUACAUUGGCUCCCAGUACGUUCCCGAGCACAGUUCAAAGUGUUGGUGUUACCUUUAAAGCUGUAAACUGCCUCGGCCCAGUAUACCUGAAGGAGCGUCUCCACCCGCAUCGUUCUGCCUGGACACUGAGGUCCAGCACCAAGAGCCUUCUGGCGGUUCCCUCACUGCGAGAAGCGAAGCUACAGGGAACCAGGCAGAGGGCCUUCUCGGUAGUGGCGCCCGCCCUGUGGAACGCCCUCCCAUCAGAUGUCAAAGAGAUAAACAACCACCUGACAUUUAGAAGACAUCUGAAGGCAGCCCUGUUUAGGGAAUUUUUUAAUGUGUGACCCAUUGCAGGUGUUAUGGAUUGAAUAGCUACUGCACCUUUUCACAAUAUUCUAAUUUUUAUGAGAUUGUUAAUUUGGGGUUUUCAUCAGCU
Podarcis lilfordi (Lilford's wall lizard) is the source of this 1322-nucleotide non-coding RNA. The record is from the annotation of a GenBank genome assembly. Lineage: Eukaryota; Metazoa; Chordata; Lepidosauria; Squamata; Lacertidae.